GAUAGAUCAUCAGAAUCAUCGACGUGAAUAUCAGUAGGGUCGUAAACGGAACCACUGAUAUGAAUAUCAGAAGGCUCCCGCCAUCCCACCCAAUCAGGCACUUGUUGGUCAUUGAACAAAUCUUCAUUCCCGCCCGUCUCAAACUGGAAAGGGAUUGUUUCAGUAACUGAGCUCGCUUUCUCAGACUCUGCUAGCGGCUGGUUCACAGCCCCAUU
Molecule: unclassified non-coding RNA, 215 nt
Filed under: Hevea brasiliensis (rubber tree)
Lineage: Eukaryota; Viridiplantae; Streptophyta; Magnoliopsida; Malpighiales; Euphorbiaceae
Source: RNAcentral